RNAcentral lists this ribosomal RNA (397 nucleotides) under uncultured bacterium. Its description in RNAcentral is "bacterial SSU rRNA". It matches the Rfam family "Bacterial small subunit ribosomal RNA", at positions 358 to 772 of the family's 1533-position model. The record is from RNAcentral.
GGAAUAUUGGACAAUGGGGGCAACCCUGAUCCAGCCAUGCCGCGUGCGUGAAGAAGGCCUUAGGGUUGUAAAGCGCUUUCACUGGUGAAGAUGAUGACGGUAGCCAGAGAAGAAGCCCCGGCUAACUCCGUGCCAGCAGCCGCGGUAAUACGGAGGGGGCAAGCGUUGUUCGGAAUUACUGGGCGUAAAGCGCGCGUAGGCGGAUUGUUAAGUCGGGGGUGAAAUCCCGGGGCUCAACCCCGGAACUGCCUCCGAUACUGGCAGUCUUGAGUCCGAGAGAGGUGAGUGGAAUUCCGAGUGUAGAGGUGAAAUUCGUAGAUAUUCGGAGGAACACCAGUGGCGAAGGCGGCUCACUGGCUCGGUACUGACGCUGAGGUGCGAAAGCGUGGGGAGCAAA